CACGGGGGGAGCAAACGUUGUUCGGAAUUACUGGGCGUAAAGGGCGCGUAGGCGGCCUCGUAAGUGGUGUGUGAAAUGUCCUGGCUCAACCAGGGAAUUGCGCUCCAAACUGCGGGGCUUGAGGGCAGUAGAGGAAGCUGGAAUUCCAGGUGUAGCGGUGAAAUGCGUAGAUAUCUGGAGGAACACCAUUGGCGAAGGCGAGCUUCUGGGCUGUCCCUGACGCUGAUGCGCGAAAGCUGGGGGAGCAAACAGGAUUAGAAACCCCAGUAGUCC
RNAcentral lists this ribosomal RNA (273 nucleotides) under uncultured bacterium. Its description in RNAcentral is "partial 16S ribosomal RNA". It matches the Rfam family "Bacterial small subunit ribosomal RNA", at positions 524 to 796 of the family's 1533-position model. The record is from RNAcentral.